RNAcentral lists this ribosomal RNA (497 nucleotides) under uncultured bacterium. RNAcentral describes it as "partial 16S ribosomal RNA". It matches the Rfam family "Bacterial small subunit ribosomal RNA", at positions 28 to 507 of the family's 1533-position model. The record is from RNAcentral.
GAUGAACGCUGGCGGCGUGCCUAAUACAUGCAAGUCGAGCGAACGGACGAGAAGCUUGCUUCUCUGAUGUUAGCGGCGGACGGGGGAGUAACACGUGGAUAACCUACCUAUAAGACUGGGAUAACUUCGGGAAACCGGAGCUAAUACCGGAUAAUAUUUUGAACCGCAUGGUUCAAAAGUGAAAGACGGUCUUGCUUUCACUUAUAGAUGGAUCCGCGCUGCAUUAGCUAGUUGGUAAGUUAACGGCUUACCAAGGCAACGAUGCAUAGCCGACCUGAGAGGGUGAUCGGCCACACUGGAACUGAGACACGGUCCAGACUCCUACGGGAGGCAGCAGUAGGGAAUCUUCCGCAACGGGCGAAAGCCUUACGGAGCAACGCCGCGUGAGUGAUGAAGGUCUUCGGAUCGUAAAACUCUGUUAUUAGGGAAGAACAUAUGUGUAAGUAACUGUGCACAUCUUGACGGUACCUAAUCAGAAAGCCACGGCUAACUACGUG